ACUCCUACGGGAGGCAGCAGUGGGGAAUAUUGCACAAUGGGGGAAACCCUGAUGCAGCCAUGCCGCGUGUGUGAAGAAGGCCUUGGGUUGUAAAGCACUUUCAGUAGGGAGGAAGGUAGUGUAGUUAACACCUGCAUUAUUUGUACGUUACCUACAGAAGAAGCACCGGCUAACUCCGUGCCAGCAGCCGCGGUAAGUACGGAGGGUGCGAGCGUUAAUCGGAAUUACGUGGGCGUAAAGCGCAUGCAGGCGGCCUGUUAAGUCAGAUGUGAAAGCCCGGGGUCUUAACCUCGGAAUUGCAUUUGAAACUGGCAGGCUAGAGUCUUGUAGAGGGGUUAGAA
RNAcentral lists this ribosomal RNA (341 nucleotides) under uncultured bacterium. Its description in RNAcentral is "bacterial SSU rRNA". It matches the Rfam family "Bacterial small subunit ribosomal RNA", at positions 335 to 665 of the family's 1533-position model. The record is from RNAcentral.